GCCUGGGUGGCUCAGUCGGUUAAGCGUCUGACUUCGGCUCAGGUCAUGAUCUCACGGUCCGUGAGUUCGAGCCCCGCAUCGGGCU
RNAcentral lists this transfer RNA (85 nucleotides) under Felis catus (domestic cat). It matches the Rfam family "tRNA". Rfam says of the family: Transfer RNA (tRNA) molecules are approximately 80 nucleotides in length. Their secondary structure includes four short double-helical elements and three loops (D, anti-codon, and T loops). Further hydrogen bonds mediate the characteristic L-shaped molecular structure. tRNAs have two regions of fundamental functional importance: the anti-codon, which is responsible for specific mRNA codon recognition, and the 3' end, to which the tRNAs corresponding amino acid is attached (by aminoacyl-tRNA synthetases). tRNAs cope with the degeneracy of the genetic code in two manners: having more than one tRNA (with a specific anti-codon) for a particular amino acid; and 'wobble' base-pairing, i.e. permitting non-standard base-pairing at the 3rd anti-codon position. Lineage: Eukaryota; Metazoa; Chordata; Mammalia; Carnivora; Felidae. The record is from Rfam by way of RNAcentral. RNAcentral also lists the same sequence under 5 other names.